This is a small nucleolar RNA of Physella acuta, 74 nucleotides long. RefSeq annotates it as small nucleolar RNA SNORD27. The record is from RefSeq and is a predicted model, not a curated record. NCBI's taxonomy places the organism in Eukaryota, Metazoa, Mollusca, Gastropoda, Physidae.
UCUUAAUGAUGAACAAAUAACAGACAAGCAUAUGUCUGAUUUCUUAUGAUGUUUACUCUCUCUGAGCUGAAAGA